This 427-nucleotide ribosomal RNA is filed under the name uncultured bacterium. RNAcentral describes it as "partial 16S ribosomal RNA". It matches the Rfam family "Bacterial small subunit ribosomal RNA", at positions 355 to 774 of the family's 1533-position model. The record is from RNAcentral.
UGGGGAAUAUUUGACAAUGGGCGAAAGCCUGAUCCAGCCAUGCCGCGUGUGUGAAGAAGGUCUUCGGAUUGUAAAGCACUUUAAGUUGGGAGGAAGGGCAUUAACCUAAUACGUUAGUGUUUUGACGUUACCGACAGAAUAAGCACCGGCUAACUCUGUGCCAGCAGCCGCGGUAAUACAGAGGGUGCAAGCGUUAAUCGGAAUUACUGGGCGUAAAGCGCGCGUAGGUGGUUUGUUAAGUUGGAUGUGAAAUCCCCGGGCUCAACCUGGGAACUGCAUUCAAAACUGACUGACUAGAGUAUGGUAGAGGGUGGUGGAAUUUCCUGUGUAGCGGUGAAAUGCGUAGAUAUAGGAAGGAACACCAGUGGCGAAGGCGACCACCUGGACUAAUACUGACACUGAGGUGCGAAAGCGUGGGGAGCAAACA